GGAAGGGAUGUAUUUAUUAGAUAAAAAACCAACGCCCUUCGGGGCUCCUUGGUGAAUCAUAAUAACUUAACGAAUCGCAUGGCCUUGCGCCGGCGAUGGUUCAUUCAAAUUUCUGCCCUAUCAACUUUCGAUGGUAGGAUAGUGGCCUACCAUGGUGGCAACGGGUAACGGGGAAUUAGGGUUCGAUUCCGGAGAGGGAGCCUGAGAAACGGCUACCACAUCCAAGGAAGGCAGCAGGCGCGCAAAUUACCCAAUCCCGAUACGGGGAGGUAGUGACAAUAAAUACUGAUACGGGGCUCUUUUGGGUCUCGUAAUUGGAAUGAGAACAAUUUAAAUCCCUUAACGAGGAACAAUUGGAGGGCAAGUCUGGUGCCAGCAGCCGCGGUAAUUCCAGCUCCAAUAGCGUAUAUUAAAGUUGUUGCAGUUAAAAAGCUCGUAGUUGAACCUUGGGUCUGGCUGGCCGGUCCGCCUCACCGCGAGUACUGGUCCGGCUGGACCUUUCCUUCUGGGAACCUCAUGGCCUUCACUGGCUGUGGGGGGAACCAGGACUUUUAC
This 555-nucleotide ribosomal RNA is filed under the name uncultured fungus. Its description in RNAcentral is "SSU rRNA". It matches the Rfam family "Eukaryotic small subunit ribosomal RNA", at positions 194 to 755 of the family's 1831-position model. Lineage: Eukaryota; Fungi. The record is from RNAcentral.